GACGAACGCUGGCGGCGUGCUUAACACAUGCAAGUCGAACGGAAAGGCCCCCACCUUGGUGGGGGUGCUCGAGUGGCGAACGGGUGAGUAACACGUGGGUGAUCUGCCCUGUACUUCGGGAUAAGCUUGGGAAACUGGGUCUAAUACCGGAUAGGACCAUGGUUUAGUGUCUCAUGGUGGAAAAAUUAUUGUUUUGGUGCAGGAUGAGCUCGCGGCCUAUCAGCUUGUUGAUGGGGUAAUGGCCUACCAAGGCGUCGACGGGUAGCCGGCCUGAGAGGGUGGACGGCCACAUUGGGACUGAGAUACGGCCCAGACUCCUACGGGAGGCAGCAGUGGGGAAUAUUGCACAAUGGGCGCAAGGCUGAUGCAGCGACGCCGCGUGGGGGAUGACGGCCUUCGGGUUGUAAACUCCUUUCGUUAGGGACGAAGCCACACCUUUUUUGGGUGUGGUGACGGUACCUUUGUUAAGAAGCACCGGCUAACUACGUG
RNAcentral lists this ribosomal RNA (489 nucleotides) under uncultured bacterium. RNAcentral's name for it is "partial 16S ribosomal RNA". It matches the Rfam family "Bacterial small subunit ribosomal RNA", at positions 28 to 507 of the family's 1533-position model. The record is from RNAcentral.